AGCGAACGCUGGCGGCGUGCCUAACACAUGCAAGUCGAACGUGAAAAGGGAAACCUGAGUAAAGUGGCGUACGGGUGAGUAGCGCGUAGGUAAUCUACCCCAGAAUCUGGAAUAACCUGCCGAAAGGCGGGCUAAUACUGGAUAGAGCGAGGGAACUCGUCAGAGAGUUUUUCGGGGAAGGGAGCCCGCAAGGGCCUUCGUUCUGGGAUGAGCCCGCGUCUGAUUGGCUAGUUGGUAAGGUAACGGCUUACCAAGGCGAUGAUGAGUAGCUGGUCUGAGAGGCUGAUCAGCCCAACUGGAACUGGAACACGGUCCAGACUCCUACGGGGGGCAGCAGUGGGGAAACUUGCGCAAUGGGCGAAAGUCUGACGCAGCCACGCCGCGGGAGUGAAGAAGGCCUUCGGGUUGUAAAGCUCUGUCGGAUGGGACGAAAAUCUUCAUAGUGAAUAGCUAUGAGGACUGACGGUACCAUCAAAGGAAGCACCGGCUAACUCCGUG
This 498-nucleotide ribosomal RNA is filed under the name uncultured bacterium. RNAcentral describes it as "partial 16S ribosomal RNA". It matches the Rfam family "Bacterial small subunit ribosomal RNA", at positions 29 to 507 of the family's 1533-position model. The record is from RNAcentral.